CCUACGGGAGGCAGCAGUGAGGAAUAUUGGUCAAUGGCCGGGACGCUGAUGCAGCCAAGUCGCGUGAGGGAAGACGGCCCUAGGGGUUGUAAACCUCUUUUGUCAGGGAGCAAGGUGCAGGUCGGGACCUGCUGUGAGAGUACCUGAAGAAAAAGCAUGGGCUAAAUCCGUGCCAGCGGCCGCGGUAAUACGGAGGAUGCGAGCGUUAUCGGGAUUUAUGGGGGUAAACGGGUGGGCAGGGGGAGGCACAGGUCAGCGGUAAAGUCGCGGGGCUCAACCCCGCUCCGCCGUUGAAACUGUGUCCCUGGAGUGCGCGAAGGGUAGGCGGAAUGCGUGGUGUAGCGGUGAAAUGCGUAGAUAUUACGCAGAACUCCGAUCGCGAAGGCAGCCUACCGGCGCGCAACUGACGCUCAUGCACGAAAGCGUGGGUAGCGAACAGGAUUAGAUACCCUAGUAGUC
RNAcentral lists this ribosomal RNA (459 nucleotides) under uncultured bacterium. RNAcentral describes it as "partial 16S ribosomal RNA". It matches the Rfam family "Bacterial small subunit ribosomal RNA", at positions 338 to 795 of the family's 1533-position model. The record is from RNAcentral.